AGACGUCUACAUUAGAUACCCGGGUAGUCCCAGCCGUAAACUAUGCGCGUUAGGUGUAUCGGUGACCACGAGUCACCGAGGNGCCGAAGGGAAACCGUGAAACGUGCCGCCUGGGAAGUACGGUCGCAAGGCUGAAACUUAAAGGAAUUGGCGGGGAGCACCACAACGGGUGGAGCCUGCGGUUUAAUUGGACUCAACGCCGGGAAGCUCACCGGAUAAGACAGCGGAAUGAUUGCCGGGCUGAAGACUCUGCAUGACUAGCUG
Molecule: ribosomal RNA, 264 nt
Filed under: uncultured archaeon
Lineage: Archaea
Description: partial 16S ribosomal RNA
Rfam family: Archaeal small subunit ribosomal RNA
Source: RNAcentral